GAUGAAUGCUAGCGGGGGGCCUAACACAUGCAAGUCGAACGCUUCGGCGUGGCAAACGGGUGCGUAACACGUACUUAUCUGCCCUGGAGUGGGGGAUAACAUCGGAAACGGUGAUAAUCCGCCAUAAUCCCUACGGGGGAAAGAUUUAUCGCUCUAGGAGGAGGGUGCGGCCUAUUAGUUAGUUGGUGAGGUAAUGGCUCACCAAGACGAUGAUGGGUAGCUGGUCUGAGAGGAUGAUCAGCCACAAUGGAACUGAGACACGGUCCAUACCCCUACGGGGGGCAGCAGUGGGGAAUAUUGCACAAUGGAGGAAACUCUGAUGCAGCCACCCCGCGUGGAGGAUGAAGCAUUACGGUGUGUAAACUCCUUUUCUGGAGGAAGACGACUGACGGUACUCCAGGAAUAAGCGACGGCUAACUACG
RNAcentral lists this ribosomal RNA (422 nucleotides) under uncultured bacterium. RNAcentral's name for it is "bacterial SSU rRNA". It matches the Rfam family "Bacterial small subunit ribosomal RNA", at positions 28 to 505 of the family's 1533-position model. The record is from RNAcentral.